CCAAGGUUUCCUGUCCCAUGUUAAUCAGGGCAGGGUAAGUCGGCCCCUAAGGCGAGGCGGAAACGCGUAGUCGAUGGAAAACAGAUUAAUAUUUCUGUACUUCUAUAUAUUGCGAAGGAGGGACGGAGUAGGCUAGAUGAGCACGGCGUUGGUAGUCCGUGUGAAAGAAUGUAGGUGGGUGACUUAGGUAAAUCCGGGUUGCUGUUAACACUGAGACUCGAGACGAGUGUCUACGGACAUGAAGUCAUUGAUGCCAUGCUUCCAGGAAAAGCUUCUAAGCUUCAGAUAUAUAGGAACCGUACCCCAAACCGACACAGGUGGUUAGGUAGAGAAUACUAAGGCGCUUGAGAGAACUCGGGUGAAGGAACUAGGCAAAAUAGUACCGUAACUUCGGGAGAAGGUACGCUCUCUAGUGUGAAGGACUUGCUCCGUAAGCACAUGAGAGUCGAAGUAACCAGGUGGCUGGAACUGUUUAUUAAAAACACAGCACUGUGCAAAAUCGAAAGAUGACGUAUACGGU
RNAcentral lists this ribosomal RNA (520 nucleotides) under Colwellia sp. 6_MG-2023. RNAcentral describes it as "partial 23S ribosomal RNA". It matches the Rfam family "Bacterial large subunit ribosomal RNA", at positions 1345 to 1851 of the family's 2925-position model. The record is from RNAcentral. Lineage: Bacteria; Pseudomonadati; Pseudomonadota; Gammaproteobacteria; Alteromonadales; Colwelliaceae.